Molecule: long non-coding RNA, 228 nt
Organism: Alosa sapidissima (American shad)
Lineage: Eukaryota; Metazoa; Chordata; Actinopteri; Clupeiformes; Clupeidae
Exons: 2
Source: RefSeq, a predicted model, not a curated record
AGUAAUGGAGGCACGACAGUAAACGCUAGAGCAGACGCUAACAAAUGCUGAAGAGUUACCUGCGUAUGUUCACAAAGUUCUGUGCAAUCUGGGACGUUUAAAAGCUGGAGAGACUGACGGUUUUUCACCUGGUGAAAAAUGACUGUUCAUAACUGCUGAAUGUGAAGUAACUGCAUAUGCCUGCCUCUAAAUUCAAAGAAAAUAAAAGAAACAAAAAGAGGAAACAAA